CACCGGCGGCCCGAGUGGUAGCCGUUUUUAUUGGGUCUAAAGGGUCCGUAGCCGGCCUGAUAAGUCCUUUGGGAAAUCUGGCAGCUUAACUGUCAGGCUUCUAAGGGAUACUGUCAGGCUUGGGACCGGAAGAGGUAAGGGGUACUCCAGGGGUAGGAGUGAAAUCUUGUAAUCCCUGGGGGACCAUCUGUGGCGAAGGCGCCUUACCAGAACGGGUCCGACGGUGAGGGACGAAAGCUAGGGGAGCAAACCGG
RNAcentral lists this ribosomal RNA (254 nucleotides) under uncultured archaeon. RNAcentral's name for it is "partial 16S ribosomal RNA". It matches the Rfam family "Archaeal small subunit ribosomal RNA", at positions 474 to 727 of the family's 1478-position model. The record is from RNAcentral.